This 71-nucleotide transfer RNA is filed under the name Loxodonta africana (African savanna elephant). It matches the Rfam family "tRNA". Rfam says of the family: Transfer RNA (tRNA) molecules are approximately 80 nucleotides in length. Their secondary structure includes four short double-helical elements and three loops (D, anti-codon, and T loops). The record is from Rfam by way of RNAcentral. Lineage: Eukaryota; Metazoa; Chordata; Mammalia; Proboscidea; Elephantidae.
GCAGUGAUGCUUCAGUGGUAGAAUUUUCACCUUCCAUGUGGAAGACCCGGGUUCAGUUUCCGGCCAGUGCA